Molecule: ribosomal RNA, 592 nt
Filed under: uncultured fungus
Lineage: Eukaryota; Fungi
Description: eukaryotic LSU rRNA
Rfam family: 5.8S ribosomal RNA (bases 229-382)
Source: RNAcentral
CUUGGUCAUUUAGAGGAAGUAAAAGUCGUAACAAGGUUUCCGUAGGUGAACCUGCGGAAGGAUCAUUAAUGGUGCUUGCAGAAAUGCUUGCACGGCGGCGGCCUUAAAACGCGCCAAAUGGCACCCUUUGUUUACGAGUACCGUUCGUUUCCUCGGUGGGCUUGCCUGCCAUGAGGACCAACAAAAACCUUUUGUAGUAGCAGUAUCUUCAGUAAAAACAAAUAUUAAAACUUUCAACAACGGAUCUCUUGGUUCUGGCAUCGAUGAAGAACGCAGCGAAAUGCGAUAAGUAAUGUGAAUUGCAGAAUUCAGUGAAUCAUCGAAUCUUUGAACGCACAUUGCGCCCUCUGGUAUUCCGGGGGGCAUGCCUGUUCGAGCGUCAUUACAACCCUCAAGCUCUGCUUGGUAUUGGGCUACACCCGACUGGGUGGGCCUUAAAAUCAGUGGCGGUGCCAUCUGGCUCUAAGCGUAGUAAUUCUUCUCGCUCUGGAGAUCUAGGUGUUUGCUUGCCAGCAACCCCCAAUUUAUCAAAGGUUGACCUCGGAUCAGGUAGGGAUACCCGCUGAACUUAAGCAUAUCAAUAAGCGGAGGA